AUGGAAAGCAACUUGGGCCAUAAGGGCCCAAGUGGGAGGCGCCCCUUUCCCUAUGGAAGGAGGCCGAAUUGGGGAAGGGGAAGAGUGCUACUCCUCCUCCCCCUGGCCACGCACCAAGGAGGGAUGGCACCCCUCCCUCUCCCCUCUAACCUAUAUACACUUGAGGCAUACCUGGCCAAACGGGCCGGCCCGGCCCGGCCCGGCCCGGCCCAACGUAAUCGUGCCUGGCCCGGCACGGCCCGCCAGGGCACGAUUACUAUACGGGUCGUGUCGUGCCGGCCCGCGUGCUGCGCCCCCAGGCCCAGGCACGGCCCAGCAUACCUGGCCAAACGGGCCGGCCCGGCCCGGCCCGGCCCGGCCCAACGUAAUCGUGCCUGGCCCGGCACGGCCCGCCAGGGCACGAUUACUAUACGGGUCGUGUCGUGCCCGCCCGCGUGCUGCGCCCCCAGGCCCAGGCACGGCCCAGUUAGUAAACGGGCCGGCAUGUUGGCCCGUUUAGCACGCUAUAGACACAGGUGGCGGCGCCACCAUACUCGUGGGGUAGUCAGAGGAGGAACUAAUCCAGCCGAGGCGCCACGAGGGGAUCGGCGAGGGGAUCUAGCGCGAGGGGAUAGGCGAGCAGACCCAUCCCUCCCGAGUCAUCCUACCGACCUCAACCUUGGGCGGAUCCUAUGUCCGCCGCCGCCACGAGAUCGCAGGUCCUCCACCCAUCCCAACCCUGCUCCUUCUCUCCAUGCUAAUGGAAAUCCUUGCCCAAUCGCUGACUGUUGUUCGUCUCGCCAACGGGGAAGAAAGCAUAGUUCUGGUCAAAUGAUUCAGGCAAAUAUUUUGGCUGGUUCUCAUAUUUUGGUUCAGGGAAUUUUUCAAUCUACAACGGCUGCUAGCCAGCCAUGGUCUAGCAGCGCUGCCGCCCUUGCAAUGCCCGUCUGCACCAUUGCAGCAGCCGUAUCGAUGAGCCCAAGAUUAACAAGUUUAGAUAGAUGGAGCCUGACACUCUCUGCCCUCAAGAACCACUUCGGUGCUGCCACACCUGGCAGCGACAAGUUCGGUGGCCUCUUCUCUACCGACCAGCUCGCCCUUGAGUUCCCCACAUUCAACGCAUGUUGGCAGUUUGAUGGAUUCCAGAAGGCGGCCAAGGAGAUGGUGAACCACAAGAAGGGGACGACCACGCUCUCCUUCAUCUUCGACAAAGGCGUCAUCAUUGUGGCCGAUUCCUAG
This 1218-nucleotide ribosomal RNA is filed under the name Triticum aestivum (bread wheat). Its description in RNAcentral is "partial small subunit ribosomal RNA". Lineage: Eukaryota; Viridiplantae; Streptophyta; Magnoliopsida; Poales; Poaceae. The record is from RNAcentral.